Molecule: unclassified non-coding RNA, 250 nt
Filed under: Hevea brasiliensis (rubber tree)
Lineage: Eukaryota; Viridiplantae; Streptophyta; Magnoliopsida; Malpighiales; Euphorbiaceae
Source: RNAcentral
CUCUUAACAUCCUCAACAGCAAUAGGAAGAACCAUCUUAUUUUUCUCAAUCCUCUUGACGGCGACGCGAUCUCCAUUAGCUUUAUCAGUGGCAACAUAGGUGUAUCCAAAUUGGCCAUGACCCAAUAAUUUUCCGAUCACGUAUCGCCUAUCAAAAUCCUUGGCAUAUCCAAAAUCCGUGCGUUUACCACAUGGGAUCACCCCACCCUGUCGCCUGGAAGUCUGCUUCUCUUUCACCUUAUGCUGCUGCU